Molecule: transfer RNA, 77 nt
Filed under: Firmicutes bacterium CAG:631
Lineage: Bacteria; Bacillati; Bacillota
Also listed under: 1 other name
Description: transfer RNA-Arg(CCG)
Rfam family: tRNA
About the family: Transfer RNA (tRNA) molecules are approximately 80 nucleotides in length. Their secondary structure includes four short double-helical elements and three loops (D, anti-codon, and T loops).
Source: RNAcentral
GUCCUCGUAGCUCACUUGGAUAGAGUACGUCCCUCCGAAGGACGGGGUAGUGCGUUCGAAUCGCAUCGAGGACGCCA